GACGAACGCUGGCGGCGUGCUUAACACAUGCAAGUCGAACGGGAAGGCCCUGCUUUUGUGGGGUGCUCGAGUGGCGAACGGGUGAGUAACACGUGAGUAACCUGCCCUUGACUUUGGGAUAACUUCAGGAAACUGGGGCUAAUACCGGAUAGGAGCUCCUGCUGCAUGGUGGGGGUUGGAAAGUUUCGGCGGUUGGGGAUGGACUCGCGGCUUAUCAGCUUGUUGGUGGGGUAGUGGCUUACCAAGGCUUUGACGGGUAGCCGGCCUGAGAGGGUGACCGGCCACAUUGGGACUGAGAUCCGGCCCAGACUCCUACGGGAGGCAGCAGUGGGGAAUAUUGCACAAUGGGCGGAAGCCUGAUGCAGCAACGCCGCGUGCGGGAUGACGGCCUUCGGGUUGUAAACCGCUUUCGCCUGUGACGAAGCGUGAGUGACGGUAAUGGGUAAAGAAGCACCGGCUAACUACGUG
Molecule: ribosomal RNA, 468 nt
Filed under: uncultured bacterium
Lineage: Bacteria
Description: partial 16S ribosomal RNA
Rfam family: Bacterial small subunit ribosomal RNA
Source: RNAcentral